GACAGAGGGUGCAAACGUUGCUCGGAAUUACUGGGCGUAAAGCGCGUGUAGGCGGGCCGAUAAGUCAGACGUGAAAUCCCUGAGCUCAACUCAGGAACUGCAUCUGAAACUGCCGGUCUAGAGUGGUGGAGAGGGAAGCGGAAUUCCUGGUGUAGAGGUGAAAUGCGCAGAUAUCAGGAGGAACACCGGUGGCGAAGGCGGGUCUCUGGGCCGGAACUGACGCUGAGGAGCGAAAGCGUGGGGAGCAAACAGG
RNAcentral lists this ribosomal RNA (253 nucleotides) under uncultured bacterium. RNAcentral's name for it is "partial 16S ribosomal RNA". It matches the Rfam family "Bacterial small subunit ribosomal RNA", at positions 524 to 776 of the family's 1533-position model. The record is from RNAcentral.